This 206-nucleotide ribosomal RNA is filed under the name uncultured bacterium. RNAcentral's name for it is "partial 16S ribosomal RNA". It matches the Rfam family "Bacterial small subunit ribosomal RNA", at positions 568 to 774 of the family's 1533-position model. The record is from RNAcentral.
CGCGUAGGCGGGCUGUCAAGUCUGGGGUGAAAUCCCACGGCUCAACCGUGGAACUGCCUUAGAUACUGACGGCCUCGAGGGAGAUAGGGGCGAGCGGAACUGUGAGUGGAGCGGUGAAAUGCGUUGAUAUUCACAGGAACUCCGGUGGCGAAGGCGGCUCGCUGGAUCUUUUCUGACGCUGAGGCGCGAAAGCUAGGGAGCAAACG